GACGAACGCUGGCGGCGUGCUUAACACAUGCCAGUCGAGCGGAAAGGCCCUUCGGGGUACUCGAGCGGCGAACGCGUGAGUAACACGUGAGUAAUCUGCCCUUGGCUUUGGGAUAACUACCGCAAACGGUGGCUAAUACCGGAUCCGACAACCGUCUGCAUGGGCUGGUUGUGGAAAGUUUUUUCGGCCAGGGAUGUGCUCGCGGCCUAUCAGCUUGUUGGUGGGGUAAUGGCCUACCAAGGCUUCGACGGGUAGCCGGGCUGGGAGGGUGAACGGCCACACUGGGACUGAGACGCGGCACAGACUCCUAAGGGAGGCAGCAGUGGGGAAUAUGGGACAAUGGGCGGAAGCCUGAUCCAGCAACGCCGCGUGAGGGAUGACGGCCGUCGGGUUGUAAACCUCUUUCAGUACCGACGAAGCGCCGAUGAUGGUGGUGACGGUAGGUACAGAAGAAGCACCGGCCAACUACGUG
This 472-nucleotide ribosomal RNA is filed under the name uncultured bacterium. Its description in RNAcentral is "partial 16S ribosomal RNA". It matches the Rfam family "Bacterial small subunit ribosomal RNA", at positions 28 to 507 of the family's 1533-position model. The record is from RNAcentral.